AGUGAUGAAGGUCUUAUGGAUUGUAAAGCUCUUUCGGCGGGGAUGAUAAUGACAGUACCCGCAUAAGAAGCCCCGGCUAACUCCGUGC
Molecule: ribosomal RNA, 88 nt
Filed under: uncultured bacterium
Lineage: Bacteria
Description: partial 16S ribosomal RNA
Source: RNAcentral